AACGAACGCUGGCGGCAUGCCUAACACAUGCAAGUCGAACGAGACCUUCGGGUCUAGUGGCGCACGGGUGCGUAACGCGUGGGAAUCUGCCCUUGGGUUCGGAAUAACUCAGAGAAAUUUGAGCUAAUACCGGAUGAUGACGUAAGUCCAAAGAUUUAUCGCCCAGGGAUGAGCCCGCGUAAGAUUAGCUAGUUGGUGGGGUAAAGGCCUACCAAGGCGACGAUCUUUAGCUGGUCGAGAGGAUGAUCAGCCACACUGGGACUGAGACACGGCCCAGACUCCUACGGGAGGCAGCAGUGGGGAAUAUUGGACAAUGGGCGAAAGCCUGAUCCAGCAAUGCCGCGUGAGUGAUGAAGGCCUUAGGGUUGUAAG
RNAcentral lists this ribosomal RNA (372 nucleotides) under uncultured bacterium. RNAcentral's name for it is "bacterial SSU rRNA". It matches the Rfam family "Bacterial small subunit ribosomal RNA", at positions 29 to 429 of the family's 1533-position model. The record is from RNAcentral.